GAUGAACGCUGGCGGCGUGCCUAAUACAUGCAAGUCGAGCGAACAGACGAGGAGCUUGCUCCUUUGACGUUAGCGGCGGACGGGUGAGUAACACGUGGAUAACCUACCUAUAAGACUGGGAUAACUUCGGGAAACCGGAGCUAAUACCGGAUAACAUGUUGAACCGCAUGGUUCAACAGUGAAAGACGGUCUUGCUGUCACUUAUAGAUGGAUCCGCGCCGCAUUAGCUAGUUGGUAAGGUAACGGCUUACCAAGGCAACGAUGCGUAGCCGACCUGAGAGGGUGAUCGGCCACACUGGAACUGAGACACGGUCCAGACUCCUACGGGAGGCAGCAGUAGGGAAUCUUCCGCAAUGGGCGAAAGCCUGACGGAGCAACGCCGCGUGAGUGAAGAAGGUCUUCGGAUCGUAAAACUCUGUUAUCAGGGAAGAACAAAUGUGUAAGUAACUAUGCACGUCUUGACGGUACCUAAUCAGAAAGCCACGGCUAACUACGUG
RNAcentral lists this ribosomal RNA (497 nucleotides) under uncultured bacterium. RNAcentral describes it as "partial 16S ribosomal RNA". It matches the Rfam family "Bacterial small subunit ribosomal RNA", at positions 28 to 507 of the family's 1533-position model. The record is from RNAcentral.